RNAcentral lists this transfer RNA (73 nucleotides) under Camelus bactrianus (Bactrian camel). It matches the Rfam family "tRNA". From Rfam's summary of the family: Transfer RNA (tRNA) molecules are approximately 80 nucleotides in length. Their secondary structure includes four short double-helical elements and three loops (D, anti-codon, and T loops). RNAcentral also lists the same sequence under 3 other names. The record is from Rfam by way of RNAcentral. Lineage: Eukaryota; Metazoa; Chordata; Mammalia; Artiodactyla; Camelidae.
GAGGGUAUAGCUCAGUUGGUAGAGUGUGUGUUUAGCAUGCACAAGAUCCUGGGCUCAAUUCCCAGUAACUCCA